GGGGAAGCAGGUCAAAAGGGGACCUGCAAGGAUGAGCCAGGACUCUCGAGUAUUUGAGCUGAGAUCCUACCUUCCUGUAUAACAAGAACCUUAACAUCACAGUCAGCUCUUGAUUAUCUGAGCCAGACAGACUGGUUUGAAGAGCAAGAUAUAGCAGUGACCUGGAUUCUGGAUGGUUUAGAGAAUCACCAGGAAGUCAGGAACAAAGAGUUCCUGGGCAGCUGGCACCACAGUGCAGAUCAUGACAUGGAACACAGAGGAAUGGCUGCUGCCAUCUUUGACCAUGGGAUGCCACAUCUCGAAACACCAACUCUGCUGGUCCCCAGAGCCCAGAUACAGCUACUUGUGCUUCUAUCACCGUGUCCCUGGAAACAGAUGUUGCUGCUAUUACUGGAACUGCCAUAAAAGAUUCUCUGCUGCCUGGCUUUUUUGCUCCCCAAUCUGAGCUUAUGAUAAAUGCCUCACUGUUGCUGCAAGGAGGGGGCCAAUACCCAGGACAACAGGACAGCCAAAAACAAACAAACAAACAAAUGAACAAACAGAAAAGUUCCAGACUCUGGUGAAACACAUGUUUCAGGCCCCUCAGCAAGAGUGGACAAGACAAACAUCUUUACAAGCCCCAACGACCUAAUGUAUAGACCCUUUGUGUGCUUCUGUGGAAUGUCUCCUACAUCAACCCUGGGAGAGUGGGGACCUCCAGAGAAACGGUGUGGGGAGGCCAGUGUGCAGAGAUCUCAGUCCCUGAGCAGGUAGGUUUGCUGGUGGGAGGGAACUGAGUUUAGACCUAGAAAAGGACCACUGAGUGCAAUGAGAUAGGACGGCCCAAGGGCUGUUGAUUUGAACGCCCAUGUGUUUAUAUUCUGGUGUGACUUCUGAUCUGUUAUUUCAUUUUAGGCAUGCUAUUUAAACUUUUUGAGUUUCCUUCUCUGUAAAACAAGAAAAAUAAUAUAUACCUUAUCAGCUAUAGGAAGAAUUUAAUGGGAUGAGGCAAGUUAAAAAUAGUGUGCAUAAUUCUAGCACAUUUAAAUGCUAAGAAGGUGAUUCCUACAAGAAAAGAAAAGGUAUGGCAAUUCAGGUAUGGUUCUAGCAAGUCUAGCUUCUGGGAGGACAAAUCCCUGUGGUCUGACUGCCAAAUUGUACCUCAGUUCACAAGUUUGCUAGAGCUGCAGUCAGGGUCAAGAUGGUGUCUGUGUGCAUUAGAAACAUGGUGUUCAGGACGCAGGAAGUGGAAUCAGGCUGAGGGAAGGAAGGUGGCAGGGACCAGGUAGAUUCUAGGCACCAGUCCUAGAGGGUCCCAGGGUAGCAGGCAGCAGGACUGGCUACAUAAUUUGCCAGGCUCCCUGCAAAAUGAAAAUGUGGGGCCUCUUACUGAAAAAUAAGAAUUUCAAGACAGCAAUAGCAGAGCAUUAAACCAAGCAUGGAGCCUUUUUGAGCACAGCCCCUUCUGAACACAGGGUCUUGUGCAAUGGCAUAGAUUGCAGGUUCAUGAAACAAGUCCUUCAAGGUUUGAGACAAUGGGGAAUUCAGAAUAAAGUCCAGCCUGAGAAAGGCAGAGUCCUGCUGAGUCUCAAGGCAGUGCCGCUGAGCCCUGAUGUGCAUAGGAAUCACUCGCCCCUUUAUGUUAAUACUAUUACUGAUAACAAAUAACAACACCAGUGAUAGCAUUACCUUAGUAGCCUGUAUUUAUUGAGCACAAAUCAUGUGCUAGAAGCAAAGCUAAGUAUUUUACAAUGCAUUGUCUUUUUCUCCCUGGUUUGAAAAGAAUUAAUAAUACCAACCUAUGCCAGGUGAUUGUCAGUGAUCUUAUUAUAUAUUAACUUAUUUAAAGGCAUAUAAACGUUUUACUAUUAUUUUUCAUGCAUCAUCUUGCUUGUGCCUUCCAUCAUCCCUAUAGCUGGUACCAGCACAUUAUGCCCAUUUGACAGAUAUGGAAACUGAAAUUGAGGAAGGUUCAGUAACUUGCCUGUAUCUGUCUGGGUCCAGAGUCCACGCUCUCAAGCUCUCAAGUAGUUGGUCCUCAUUAUAAAUAAACUGAAAGGGAUUGAAUGUUGGCUAACACUAAACAAUUUACAACAUGCUUUCAU
This 2084-nucleotide long non-coding RNA is filed under the name Homo sapiens (human). Its description in RNAcentral is "HSALNT0361403". Lineage: Eukaryota; Metazoa; Chordata; Mammalia; Primates; Hominidae. The record is from RNAcentral.